RNAcentral lists this unclassified non-coding RNA (308 nucleotides) under uncultured Fusarium. Its description in RNAcentral is "sequence contains ITS1". The stretch from base 1 to 105 matches the Rfam family "5.8S ribosomal RNA", at positions 50 to 154 of the family's 154-position model. Lineage: Eukaryota; Fungi; Ascomycota; Sordariomycetes; Hypocreales; Nectriaceae. The record is from RNAcentral.
AAAAUGCGAUAAGUAAUGUGAAUUGCAGAAUUCAGUGAAUCAUCGAAUCUUUGAACGCACAUUGCGCCCGCCAGUAUUCUGGCGGGCAUGCCUGUUCGAGCGUCAUUUCAACCCUCAAACCUCACGGUUUGGUGUUGGGGAUCGGGUUGCUUAGGCAAUCCGCCCCCGAAAUCUAGUGGCGGUCUCUCUGCAGCCUCCAUUGCGUAGUAGCUAACACCUCGCAACUGGAAAGCGGAGCGGCCACGCCGUUAAACCCCCAACUUCUGAAUGUUGACCUCGGAUCAGGUAGGAAUACCCGCUGAACUUAA